GACGAACGCUGGCGGCGUGCUUAACACAUGCAAGUCGAACGGAAAGGCCCUGCUUUUGUGGGGUGCUCGAGUGGCGAACGGGUGAGUAACACGUGAGUAACCUGCCCUUGACUUUGGGAUAACUUCAGGAAACUGGGGCUAAUACCGGAUAGGAGCUCCUGCUGCAUGGUGGGGGUUGGAAAGUUUCGGCGGUUGGGGAUGGACUCGCGGCUUAUCAGCUUGUUGGUGGGGUAGUGGCUUACCAAGGCUUUGACGGGUAGCCGGCCUGAGAGGGUGACCGGGCACAUUGGGACUGAGAUACGGCCCCGAGUCCUACGGGGGGCAGCAGUGGGGAAUAUUGCACAAAGGGCGGAAGCCUGAGGCAGCAACGCCGCGUGCGGGAUGACGGCCUUUGGGUUUUAAACCCCUUUCCGCUGUGACGAAGGGGGAGUGACGGUAAUUGGUAAAGAAGCACCGGCUAACUACGUG
This 468-nucleotide ribosomal RNA is filed under the name uncultured bacterium. RNAcentral describes it as "partial 16S ribosomal RNA". It matches the Rfam family "Bacterial small subunit ribosomal RNA", at positions 28 to 507 of the family's 1533-position model. The record is from RNAcentral.